Molecule: ribosomal RNA, 356 nt
Filed under: uncultured bacterium
Lineage: Bacteria
Description: partial 16S ribosomal RNA
Rfam family: Bacterial small subunit ribosomal RNA
Source: RNAcentral
ACUACGGGGGGCUGCAGUGAGGAAUAUUGGUCAAUGGACGCAAGUCUGAACCAGCCAUGCCGCGUGCAGGAAGACGGCGCUAUGAGUUGUAAACUGCUUUUGUACGAGGGUAAACGCAGAUACGUGUAGCUGUCUGAAAGUAUCGUACGAAUAAGGAUCGGCUAACUCCGUGCCAGCAGCCGCGGUAAUACGGAGGAUUCAAGCGUUAUCCGGAUUUAUUGGGGUUAAAGGGUGCGUAGGCGGUCGGAUAAGUUAGAGGUGAAAUCCCGUGGCUCAACUUCGGAAUUGCCUCUGAUACUGUUCGGCUAGAGCGUAGUUGCGGUAGGCGGAUUGUCUGGUGUAGCGGUGACAUGCUU